RNAcentral lists this ribosomal RNA (567 nucleotides) under Triticum aestivum (bread wheat). RNAcentral describes it as "partial small subunit ribosomal RNA". Lineage: Eukaryota; Viridiplantae; Streptophyta; Magnoliopsida; Poales; Poaceae. The record is from RNAcentral.
CGUGAGGUCGCCGACCUCGCCUCCGACGUCGGCUUCUUCCGCGACGUCGUCACCGGCGAGUUUGAGAAGUUCACGAGGGUGACGAUGAUCCUGCCGCUGACGCGCGCGCAGUACUCAGACAAGGUGACCGAGAACUGCGUCACGUACUGGAAGGCCACCAGCGUGUACACGGGCACGGAGGCCGCCUCCGUCGACAAGUUCAAGGCUUUCAAGCGCCACAGCUUCGCCCCCGGCGCCUCCAUACUCACCCACUCCCCCGCCGGCGUCCUCACCAUUGCCUUCUCCAUGGACACAUCGGUGCCGGAGUCCGGCGGCGCGGCUAUCGAGAGCGCCCGGCUCUACGAGGCCGUGCUCGAGUCCAUCAUCGGCGAGCACGGGGUGUCGCCGGCCGCGAAGCUCAGCCUGUCCACCAUGGUCCGGGAGGUCGCGGAUCGCGUCCAGCAGUGGGCGGCUGUAGUCCUCGAAGGUGGGCGUGUCGCGCAGCCACGCAGUGCCCCGCGAUGCGGAGCAGGGCGGUCACCUUGUACUAGCACCACCCGCCGUGGCCCGUGCCGUGCACCAGAAUGA